AUUAUAUUUUCUAUUAAUCCAUUAUUUGAUCCAAAUAAUUUGCGUAAAAUUAAAGACGCUCUCCGGACCCGUCACGGAUCCGAGCGAGCUCCCGAAGUGGAACUACGACGGCUCGAGCACCGGCCAGGCGCCGGGCAAGGACAGCGAAGUGAUCCUUUACCCUCAAGCCAUUUUCAAGGACCCAUUCAGGAGGGGAAAUAAUAUUCUUGUAAUGUGUGAUUGCUACACCCCACAAGGAGAUCCAAUCCCUACCAACAAAAGAAACAAUGCAG
This is a long non-coding RNA of Ananas comosus (pineapple), 272 nucleotides long. RefSeq lists it as uncharacterized. The record is from RefSeq and is a predicted model, not a curated record. The transcript is spliced from 3 exons. Lineage: Eukaryota; Viridiplantae; Streptophyta; Magnoliopsida; Poales; Bromeliaceae.